UACAGAGGUCCCGAGCGUUGUUCGGAUUUAUUGGGCGUAAAGGGCGCGUAGGCGGCGGGGUAAGUCGGGUGUGAAAUCUCAGGGCUCAACCCUGAAACUGCACUUGAUACUGCUCUGCUUGAGGACUGGAGAGGAGACUGGAAUUCACGGUGUAGCAGUGAAAUGCGUAGAUAUCGUGAGGAAGACCAGUGGCGAAGGCGGGUCUCUGGACAGUUCCUGACGCUGAGGCGCGAAGGCCAGGGGAGCAAACGGG
This 253-nucleotide ribosomal RNA is filed under the name uncultured bacterium. RNAcentral describes it as "partial 16S ribosomal RNA". It matches the Rfam family "Bacterial small subunit ribosomal RNA", at positions 524 to 776 of the family's 1533-position model. The record is from RNAcentral.